GACGAACGCUGGCGGCGUGCUUAACACAUGCAAGUCGAACGGAAAGGCCCUGCUUUUGUGGGGUGCUCGAGUGGCGAACGGGUGAGUAACACGUGAGUAACCUGCCCUUGACUUUGGGAUAACUUCAGGAAACUGGGGCUAAUACCGGAUAGGAGCUCCUGCUGCAUGGUGGGGGUUGGAAAGUUUCGGCGGUUGGGGAUUGACUCGCGGCUUAUCAGCUUGUUGGUGGGGUAGUGGCUUACGAAGGCUUGUACGGGUAGCCGGCCUGAGAGGGUGACCGGACACAUUGGGCCUGAGAUACGGCCCAGAAUGCUACGGGAGGCAGCAGUGGAGAAGAUUGCACAAUGGGCGGAAGCCUGAUGCAGCAACGCCGCGUGCGGGAUGACGGCCUUCGGGUUGUAAACCGCUUUCGCCUGUGACGAAGCGUGAGUGACGGUAAUGGGUAAAGAAGCAACGGCUAACUACGUG
This 468-nucleotide ribosomal RNA is filed under the name uncultured bacterium. RNAcentral's name for it is "partial 16S ribosomal RNA". It matches the Rfam family "Bacterial small subunit ribosomal RNA", at positions 28 to 507 of the family's 1533-position model. The record is from RNAcentral.